GCAGUCGAGGGGUAACAGUCCCGUUCUUCGGAAUGGGAGCUGACGACCGGCGCACGGGUGAGUAACGCGUAUGCAACCUACCUUUAACAGGAGGAUAGCCCCGAGAAAUCGGGAUUAAUACUCCAUAAUUUUUAUGAACUGCAUGGUUUAUAGAAUAAAGUUCCGGCGGUUAAAGAUGGGCAUGCGUGACAUUAGUUAGUUGGUGAGGUAACGGCUCACCAAGGCAUCGAUGUCUAGGGGUUCUGAGAGGAUUAUCCCCCACACUGGUACUGAGACACGGACCAGACUCCUACGGGAGGCAGCAGUGAGGAAUAUUGGUCAAUGGGCGAGAGCCUGAACCAGCCAUGCCGCGUGCAGGAAGACGGUUCUAUGAAUUGUAAACUGCUUUUCUACAGGAAGAAACCACCUUACGAGUAAGGUGUUGCCGGUACUGUAGGAAUAAGCAUCGGCUAACUCCGUGCCAGCAGCCGCGGUAAUACGGAGGAUGCAGGCGUUAUCCGGAUUCAUUGGGUUUAAAGGGUGCGUAGGCGGAAUAGUAAGUCAGUGGUGAAAUCCUGCGGCUCAACCGUAGAAUUGCCAUUGAAACUGUUUUUCUUGAAUGUAGUUGAGGUAGGCGGAAUGUGUAAUGUAGCGGUGAAAUGCAUAGAUAUUACACAGAACACCGAUUGCGAAGGCAGCUUACUAAGCUAAGAUUGACGCUGAUGCACGAAAGCGUGGGGAGCGAACAGGAUUAGAUACCCUGGUAGUCCACGCUGUAAACGAUGAUCACUCGUUGUUUGC
This 780-nucleotide ribosomal RNA is filed under the name uncultured bacterium. Its description in RNAcentral is "bacterial SSU rRNA". It matches the Rfam family "Bacterial small subunit ribosomal RNA", at positions 57 to 827 of the family's 1533-position model. The record is from RNAcentral.